RNAcentral lists this long non-coding RNA (368 nucleotides) under Ricinus communis (castor bean). RNAcentral's name for it is "long non-coding RNA (RCOM_LNC002232)". The record is from RNAcentral. Lineage: Eukaryota; Viridiplantae; Streptophyta; Magnoliopsida; Malpighiales; Euphorbiaceae.
GCAUAGCUGCCAGACCUCAAAGGUUAGAAAACUCAGCACAGGCUGGGUUACCGUGAGGAUAAUAUGAGGGCAAACCAAAGGGUAAUACUUUAAAAGAGGUAUUUGUCCAGGAGUACAAACUCUACUAUAGGGAGCCUGAACCUGUUAUAGGAGCUAGGAUUGAGGUGCCGGGAUUUGAGAUAUUCAAGAACCUGAUCAUUGAUAGAAUGGUUGAGUUGAGCAUCAGAAAAGUCUGUGAGGUCAUUACCAAGGUUGAGGAGCUAAAGCUGGAGGAGUUCAUUGCUUUGCUUGAGAAGCUGAGUCAACAAAAGCUAGUUGCUUUGAUAGAGGAGCAUAUUAUUGAUGUAUUUUAUGAUGAUAUAUAAUGU